RNAcentral lists this ribosomal RNA (1229 nucleotides) under uncultured Actinomycetes bacterium. Its description in RNAcentral is "bacterial SSU rRNA". It matches the Rfam family "Bacterial small subunit ribosomal RNA", at positions 231 to 1472 of the family's 1533-position model. The record is from RNAcentral. Lineage: Bacteria; Bacillati; Actinomycetota; Actinomycetes.
UCGCGGCCUAUCAGCUUGUUGGUGGGGUAAUGGCCUACCAAGGCGACGACGGGUAGCCGGCCUGAGAGGGUGAUCGGCCACACUGGGACUGAGACACGGCCCAGACUCCUACGGGAGGCAGCAGUGGGGAAUAUUGCACAAUGGGCGAAAGCCUGAUGCAGCGACGCCGCGUGGGGGAUGACGGUCUUCGGAUUGUAAACUCCUUUCAGUAGGGACGAAGCGAAAGUGACGGUACCUGCAGAAGAAGCACCGGCCAACUACGUGCCAGCAGCCGCGGUAAUACGUAGGGUGCAAGCGUUGUCCGGAAUUACUGGGCGUAAAGAGCUCGUAGGCGGUUUGUCACGUCGUCUGUGAAAUCCUCCAGCUCAACUGGGGGCGUGCAGGCGAUACGGGCAGACUUGAGUACUACAGGGGAGACUGGAAUUCCUGGUGUAGCGGUGAAAUGCGCAGAUAUCAGGAGGAACACCGGUGGCGAAGGCGGGUCUCUGGGUAGUAACUGACGCUGAGGAGCGAAAGCAUGGGGAGCAAACAGGAUUAGAUACCCUGGUAGUCCAUGCCGUAAACGGUGGGCGCUAGGUGUGGGGUCCUUCCACGGAUUCCGUGCCGUAGCUAACGCAUUAAGCGCCCCGCCUGGGGAGUACGGCCGCAAGGCUAAACUCAAAGGAAUUGACGGGGGCCCGCACAAGCGGCGGAGCAUGUGGAUUAAUUCGAUGCAACGCGAAGAACCUUACCUAGGCUUGACAUAUACAGGACGACGGCAGAGAUGUCGUUUCCCUUGUGGCUUGUAUACAGGUGGUGCAUGGUUGUCGUCAGCUCGUGUCGUGAGAUGUUGGGUUAAGUCCCGCAACGAGCGCAACCCCUGUCUCAUGUUGCCAGCACGUUAUGGUGGGGACUCGUGAGAGACUGCCGGGGUCAACUCGGAGGAAGGUGGGGAUGACGUCAAAUCAUCAUGCCCCUUAUGUCUAGGGCUUCACACAUGCUACAAUGGCUAGUACAGAGGGCUGCGAGACCGCGAGGUGGAGCGAAUCCCUUAAAGCUAGUCUCAGUUCGGAUUGGGGUCUGCAACUCGACCCCAUGAAGUCGGAGUCGCUAGUAAUCGCAGAUCAGCAUUGCUGCGGUGAAUACGUUCCCGGGCCUUGUACACACCGCCCGUCACGUCAUGAAAGUCGGUAACACCCGAAGCCGGUGGCCUAACCCUUGUGGAGGGAGCCGUCGAAGGUGGGGCUGGA